UCUUUUCUUAGCGGCGGACGGGUGAGUAACACGUGGGCAACCUGCCUUGAAGAGGGGGAUAACACCGAGAAAUCGGUGCUAAUACCGCAUAACAUACAGACACCACCUGGUGAGUGUAUCAAAGGAGAAAUCCGCUUUGAGAUGGGCCCGCGGCUGAUUAGCUAGUUGGUAAGGUAACGGCUUACCAAGGCGACGAUCAGUAGCCGACCUGAGAGGGUGACCGGCCACACUGGAACUGAGACACGGUCCAGACUCCUACGGGAGGCAGCAGUGGGGAAUAUUGCGCAAUGGGGGAAACCCUGACGCAGCAACGCCGCGUGGAGGAAGAAGGUUUUCGGAUUGUAAACUCCUGUCUUCUGGGACGAUAAUGACGGUACCAGAGGAGGAAGCCACGGCUAACUACGUGCCAGCAGCCGCGGUAAUACGUAGGUGGCGAGCGUUGUCCGGAAUUACUGGGCGUAAAGGGCGCGUAGGCGGCUCUUUAAGUCAGAUGUGAAAACCCGAGGCUUAACUUCGGGAGUGCAUUUGAAACUGAAGGGCUCGAGUGCAGGAGAGGUAAGUGGAAUUCCUAGUGUAGCGGUGAAAUGCGUAGAUAUUAGGAGGAACACCAGUGGCGAAGGCGACUUUCUGGCUCGAGACUGACGCUCAGACGCGAAAGCUAGGGUAGCAAACGGGAUUAGAGACCCCGGUAGUCCUAGCUGUAAACGAUGUAGACUUGGCGUUGGUGGAGUAAAAUCCAUCAGUGCCGCAGCAAACGCGAUAAGUCUACCGCCUGGGGACUACGGCCGCAAGGUUAAAACUCAAAGGAAUUGACGGGGCCCCGCACAAGCAGCGGAGCGUGUGGUUUAAUUCGAUGCUACACGAAGAACCUUACCAGGGUUUGACAUACAAGUGGUAGAGAAGUGAAAACGGAUCGACCCUUCGGGGAGCUUGUACAGGUGCUGCAUGGCUGUCGUCAGCUCGUGUCGUGAGAUGUUCGGUUAAGUCCGCUAACGAGCGCAACCCUCGCUGUGUGUUACAAGUGUCACACGGAACUGCCGGUCAUAAACCGGAGGAAGGUGGGGAUGACGUCAAGUCAGCAUGGCCUUUAUAUCCUGGGCUACACACACGCUACAAUGGUCAGCACAAUGGGUCGCUAAGCCGCAAGGUGGAGCCAAUCCUCAAAGUUGGCCUCAGUUCAGAUUGUAGGCUGCAACUCGCCUGCAUGAAGAUGGAGUUGCUAGUAAACGCAGGUCAGCUAUACUGCGUUGAAUACGUUCCCGG
This 1263-nucleotide ribosomal RNA is filed under the name uncultured bacterium. RNAcentral describes it as "bacterial SSU rRNA". It matches the Rfam family "Bacterial small subunit ribosomal RNA", at positions 85 to 1377 of the family's 1533-position model. The record is from RNAcentral.